Molecule: unclassified non-coding RNA, 712 nt
Filed under: Hevea brasiliensis (rubber tree)
Lineage: Eukaryota; Viridiplantae; Streptophyta; Magnoliopsida; Malpighiales; Euphorbiaceae
Source: RNAcentral
UUCCUGUCAAAUCCCAUCUUAACCACCUCUUGAAGAAUCUCUUCAUCGAUCUUCUUUGCUUGUUGGGUUGUAUCUGGUGGAGGCACGGCCAAAUAGCGUGGCAAAUGAGCUUGGAACCAAGGGUGCAGGCGAAUCUCAGGAAUAGUCAUUCGCUUCAUUGGGUCGACUAUAAGCAUCCUCGGAAUCAAAUCCCUCGCACCAGCUGAUAAAUGGCUGGGCAGAGUAUAUAUUCCACCCUUUAUUUUCUUAAAAAGAUUGGGUAUGUUUUCAUCGUCAAACGGAAGGGUGCCACAGAGAAGAGCAUAAAGAAUAACACCACAGCUCCAUACAUCUACCUCAGGGCCAGCAUACAAUUUACCUGAUAUAACCUCUGGGGCAGCAUAGUUUGGGCUUCCGCAACUUGUCUUCAGAAAAUGACCAUCGCGCAUGAUAUUGCUCAAACCAAAAUCUGCGAUCUUCACAUUCCAUUUGGAGUCCAGAAGGAGGUUUUCAGGCUUAAGGUCUCUAUGAACCACCAUGUUUCUAUGGCAGUACUCCACACCAGAAAUUAUCUGCUGAAAAAAGUUACGAGCUUCAUCCUCCUGCAAUCUGCCCUUCUCAACAAUGUAAUCAAAUAACUCGCCAGAUUUCACAUACUCCAUCACAACAUAUAUAUCUGAUGGUGUCUCUAUGACCUCAUAAAGCCGUAUAACAUGAGGAUGCAGCAGAAAGU